GGCAGGAACUGUUUCUCACUGGUGUGCCAACCAGGCUGCGGUCCCCAGGUUGAGGCGUCUCAAGGAUCAAGCCCAGAGCGGGCUGAGAACGAGCUGCCUUGAAGCGGAGGAAGGGGCAGACAUUUGUGCAAGGGACCCUUUUCCCGGGAUGUAAAAAGAUGCGGCCUGGGGGGAGAAGGGGGCAAUGCAAGGGCUCCUCCUAGGUGCAACCCUCCCUCCUCUGCUGUGCAGAGGCAAGAAAUUACGGAGCCCACCUCUGGUUGAGACUCUUCCAUGGAGAUGGUGGUGUGGCAGCGCAGAUAAAGCCAGGGCUGUGCUGAAGGACAGGAGAUGGGGUUGGCUGCUCAGGAAGCCACAGCUCCCUUCCCAAAGCUGUGUGUGCUGAUAAGAGGGCCCGGGCAGCCCCACCGCUGGCACUGCUGCCAGAGCAGCGCCUGGUCCUCGGGCAGGAGGGAGGCAACGUGGCAGGAGAGCAAACGCUGGAGGGUCCACGGCGGUGAGGGCAGCCAUGCCACCCCGGCGGAGCCGGCACCGCCGUGAGGAGGCACGUGAGCCAGGGUCUCCCUCCCACGGAGGAGGAUGAGGGAGGAGCUGCGGGGCUCGGAGGGCUCCCAGAGGGUCUGGUGGGAGAUGCCAGGUCUGCUGCGAACGGUGCUUGCGCGGGAAGAAAGGCGACGUGUAGGUGCAUGCCUGCCUGUGCCCACACCUCCCGGCUCUCCC
This is a long non-coding RNA of Egretta garzetta (little egret), 720 nucleotides long. RefSeq lists it as uncharacterized. The transcript has 3 exons. Lineage: Eukaryota; Metazoa; Chordata; Aves; Pelecaniformes; Ardeidae. The record is from RefSeq and is a predicted model, not a curated record.